UGUCCAUGGGCUCGAAAUAAACCCUCUCCCAUAACCAUCAGGGCUAGUGGUGUUGAUGAUCAUGAGCAAACCAGUUGGCUAGAUCUGAGCCUCCUCAUCCCUCCAUGUGUUCCUUAGACCUGCUCCUGGUUUUAGGAGCUCCUUAUUAUAAACUGCCUUUCUGUCUGUUUCUAUUGCUAUGUGUGUCCUGUAUUUAUUUGAGAGUGUCACAUAGCCCUGGUAGCAUCUAAAUCUUGGGUGCUGGGCUCAGGCUUAGACCACCAUGCUGGGCUAUAAACUGCCCUUUUUCUAGUGCAUUUGUAUGAUCCUGCUACCUCCUGACUGGACCCUGGUUGGUGGGUCCUGGGAUCAGAAAGGAGUUCUUAACUUCUUCCAGGUAAGGAGGGCUGGACUGUCUAUUUCCUAUAAAUGGGAAAGUCACUUGCUUGUAGUCGUUUUGUCAUUAUUGCUGCUUGUACCUUUACUGAUUAUAUAUCUUGAAGAGUAAGAGAGACAAAACUGAUGCAUGGUACACUGACUAGUGUUGGCACUUGGUACAUGGUACUCCAACUGGCCUUUUUGCUGGAGUACGGAUUUAAUGGGCCAAGGAUGAAGUUUUUGGCUCCCUGCAUCUCUGCUGUAUUACCCUUGGUUCUGCAGCCAGCUCUCCAAGGUAACUGUAAUGCGGCUCAUGUUUUAGUCUCUCCAGCAUAACAGGAAACUCCAAGAUCCAUGAUCUUGACCCCUCACUUUCUAAUGCAAAUAUCCUCCCCUGUAUGUUUGGUGAAAAGGUAACUAGAUAGAUGAAUAUGUGCUCAUUUUCAUCUAAUAAAGGAGGCAGCCCAAUUUCUCUCUCUCCUAAGCUGUGGGGUAAUCACGAUGUAGUAAACCAAGAGUCUCCCUCCUUUGAGACCACUCUGUUCAAACUUCUUCCUUUUAGACUCUGCUUAUGAAUAUUCAAAAGCGUUGAGUACUAACCAGAGCUAGCCCCUCCUUCCACUUCCACAGCCUUGUCAGACUUUGAUGGAAUCCUACUUAUUGCUCAUAGAUUUGUUUGAUUUUUCUAACUUCUCUAGGAAAGAGAGGUGUUCACCAUCAAUUCCCAGUAAGGAAAGUGAGUUAGAGAUGAGCAAACUAAAACACUAAAAGUCUUUGUCAUUCAGGACUGAUCCUGGGGCCAGCUAUAUGGCUCAGAAAGCGAACGCACUUGCAGUGUGGGCCCAAGGGCCAGGGUUUGACUCCCCGUGCUUACGCAAUGGUGGAAGGAGAGAACCGGCUGCAUGAAGUUGUCUUUGACCUCCAUGUGAAUGCCUUUAUAUGUGUGCCUCUCAUGCCAUGAAUGCCAAAUAAAAUUAACAGCAACAGGAAAAAGUUAUACUGGCCAAAAUUUGCAUUUAGCAUAGGUUUACUUCUUUUUCAUAAUUGGAAAAAAAAAUGAGCAUGAGAGGCCUGCACCCACCCCUUGGGUAUAUACUCUUGUUUUCUUAAUAAACCUCAACUUUGCUUCAUACUAAAAUAAUGAUAGAACAAUAAUGAUAAUGUCAAUGCUAUUUAUUUUAAUCAGUGCCUCUUUUUUUAAUAUCUUGUUUAUUUCAUGUACAUGAGUAUACUGUAGCUGUCUUCAGACACACCAGAAGAGGGUAUCAGAUCUCAUUACAGAUGGCCGUGAGCUGCCAUGUGGUUGCUGGGACCUGAACUCAGGAUCUUCAGAAAAGCAGUCAGUGCCCCUAACUGCUGAGCCAUCUCUCCAGCCCCAUCAAUGAUAAUUUUUAAGAAUUAGAUUUCCUUGCAGGUAACUGUGGAAGGUGAUGUCCAUAUCCAGAGUGCUUUGAACGCUUUUUUUUUUUUUCUUUAAAUCUAGCUCUUAUUGAUGGUCAUGGAUUCCAUCUGGAAAAUGUCAUAAAGUCCCUUCUAGAGAUUAUCUACACUUCUUGGGUAAGGGAGGUGGGGCAGGCGAGUGAUCAGCAGUCAGUAUCAUCAGGGAAGUGCCAUCAAGCCUCAUGGAGCAGCAGGGAUUGGGGAACGCACACAAAAACCAGGUACAAGUGGAUAUUAGAGGAGUGGUACCGUGGACCUCAGGCUGAAUCUCUAAUGGCAGAUGGCGACCCUCAUCAUUGACACCGCAUGCGGUGACUCCCUUAGCUGGUGGCUUUGGGUGAAACAUAGGGACAGUUGGAACACACGACAGUUAUAUUGUUUCCCAGGCUUUUGUUUGUUAAAUGAAAAAAAUCCGUGCCUAAUUACAGUCCCUUUGCACGGGGCUUGGGAGGGAAAAUAAAGGCAUUCUUCUACCAACUGGAAAACGCAGGAAAAUGGCAGAAAGCAGUUAUUCAUUUUAGGGCUCCCCUGAAAAAUCCCUUCCUGCUAGCAAGAAAAAUAUCCGACUAUUAUUCUUAAACUUACCAAAGUUAAAAUGCAUGUAUAGUUUAGUGUUAUUACCCAUGGAGCCACUGACCGAACAUUUUACAAACACUUCUGUGGUCCACUAUGGCUUAACAUCCUAAACAAAUUAGUUUUGGAAUUUUCUAGAAUACUAAACUU
RNAcentral lists this long non-coding RNA (2520 nucleotides) under Mus musculus (house mouse). RNAcentral's name for it is "long non-coding RNA chr15:55163511-55166031". The record is from RNAcentral. Lineage: Eukaryota; Metazoa; Chordata; Mammalia; Rodentia; Muridae.